RNAcentral lists this unclassified non-coding RNA (291 nucleotides) under uncultured fungus. RNAcentral's name for it is "partial contains small subunit ribosomal RNA, internal transcribed spacer 1, and 5.8S ribosomal RNA". The stretch from base 1 to 73 matches the Rfam family "Eukaryotic small subunit ribosomal RNA", at positions 1759 to 1831 of the family's 1831-position model. The record is from RNAcentral. Lineage: Eukaryota; Fungi.
GCAAACUUGGUCAUUUAGAGGAAGUAAAAGUCGUAACAAGGUUUCCGUAGGUGAACCUGCGGAAGGAUCAUUAACGUGUUUGAACCGUAAGGUUCUUAAUUCCAAAGCUGUGCGCUUUCGGGCUGCACGCGGAGGAAAGCACUCUUCCACACCUGUGCACAUACACGGUGGUGGGCUUAACUGCCCGCUGCCGAUAUAACACACAUCAUUAGUUAGUCCUGAGUGUAAAACCAUAAAAAUACAACUUUCAGCAACGGAUCUCUUGGCUCUCGCAUCGAUGAAGAACGCAGC